RNAcentral lists this ribosomal RNA (871 nucleotides) under Melanodothis caricis. Its description in RNAcentral is "eukaryotic LSU rRNA". It matches the Rfam family "Eukaryotic large subunit ribosomal RNA", at positions 46 to 943 of the family's 3401-position model. Lineage: Eukaryota; Fungi; Ascomycota; Dothideomycetes; Cladosporiales; Cladosporiaceae. The record is from RNAcentral.
AUAAGCGGAGGAAAAGAAACCAACAGGGAUUGCUCUAGUAACGGCGAGUGAAGCAGCAAUAGCUCAAAUUUGAAAUCUGGCGUCUCCGGCGUCCGAGUUGUAAUUUGCAGAGGAUGCUUCUGAGUAACCACCGACCUAAGUUCCUUGGAACAGGACGUCAUAGAGGGUGAGAAUCCCGUAUGCGGUCGGAAAGGUGCUCUACACGUAGCUCCUUCGACGAGUCGAGUUGUUUGGGAAUGCAGCUCUAAAUGGGAGGUAAAUUUCUUCUAAAGCUAAAUAUUGGCCAGAGACCGAUAGCGCACAAGUAGAGUGAUCGAAAGAUGAAAAGCACUUUGGAAAGAGAGUUAAAAAGCACGUGAAAUUGUUAAAAGGGAAGGGAUUGCAACCAGACUUGCUCGCGGUGUUCCGCCGGUCUUCUGACCGGUCUACUCGCCGCGUUGCAGGCCAGCAUCGUCUGGUGCCGCUGGAUAAGACUAGAGGAAUGUAGCUCCCCCGGGAGUGUUAUAGCCUCUUGUGAUGCAGCGAGCGCCGGGCGAGGUCCGCGCUUCGGCUAGGAUGCUGGCGUAAUGGUCGUAAUCCGCCCGUCUUGAAACACGGACCAAGGAGUCUAACAUCUAUGCGAGUGUUCGGGUGUCAAACCCCUACGCGUAAUGAAAGUGAACGGAGGUGAGAACCGCAAGGUGCAUCAUCGACCGAUCCUGAUGUCUUCGGAUGGAUUUGAGUAUGAGCAUAGCUGUUGGGACCCGAAAGAUGGUGAACUAUGCCUGAAUAGGGUGAAGCCAGAGGAAACUCUGGUGGAGGCUCGCAGCGGUUCUGACGUGCAAAUCGAUCGUCAAAUUUGGGUAUAGGGGCGAAAGACUAAUCGAACCAU